CAGAGACACAGGUGGGAAGAGACUCUAGGGAAAGCUGCUGGGGAUAGGAGUCUGCUGGCUGUUGAAGCACAUGAAUGGCCUCUCCCUCUUAGCUAUUUCCUGUCAAGCCCCCAAAGAAUAACUGAGAGCAAGAAGUAUCCAUACAUGGCUAGCUGUCGAUGCAACAGCUGGGGGAGGGCGUGUACACCGGCUGAACUGAUACCCUGAUGGCCUCUGAAUACACAGCCUGUUUCUCCUGAGCCAUCUACAGGCGAGGGUGUGUCUGAGCAGGGCACAGGGAUGAUUUCUCUAGAACAGUUAACAGCGAAGGAAGGACCAGGUGAGAAUGACCAGAUGAAGCCACCAUAUGCAGAUCCUGCACUAGACGUCUCGAUGCCAAGACCCCUGGCUCUAAGGAACGACGCCUGGACUCUCGUCUUCGUUCUAACCGGUUCCCGGAUGCCUGAGGGGACACAUGCACCAGACCACGAGCCUCAGUCAAAACUCCAGACCCUGAGCAAAGAGGAGACUUCCUCCUCUCCUGAGUCUCCCAGACACUCUGUCCACACCUGCACUCUCUAUACCUUCAAUAAACUCUGC
This is a long non-coding RNA of Hyaena hyaena (striped hyena), 579 nucleotides long. RefSeq lists it as uncharacterized. The record is from RefSeq and is a predicted model, not a curated record. The transcript has 3 exons. NCBI's taxonomy places the organism in Eukaryota, Metazoa, Chordata, Mammalia, Carnivora, Hyaenidae.